CCUACGGGUGGCAGCAGUGAGGAAUAUUGGUCCAUGGUCGAGAGUCUGAACCAGCCAAGCCGCGUGAAGGAUGACGGUCCUGUGUUUUGUAAACUUCUUUUCUAUGGGAAUAAAACGUUGCCCGUGUCGGCUUUUGUGUGUACCAUAUGAAUAAGGAUCGGCUAACUCCGUGCCAGCAGCCGCGGUAAUACGGAGGAUCCGAGCGUUAUCCGGAUUUAUUGGGUUUAAAGGGUGCGUAGGUGGGUUGUUAAGUCAGUUGUGAAAGUUUGCGGAUUAACCGUAAAAUUGCAGUUGAAACUGGCAGUCUCGAGUACGGGAGAGGUGGGCGGAAUUCGUGGUGUAGCGGUGAAAUGCAUAGAUAUCACGAAGAACUCCGAUUGCGAAGGCAGUUCGCUGGAUCGCAACUGACACUGAGGCUCGAAAGUGUGGGUAUCAAACAGGAUUAGAUACCCGAGUAGUC
Molecule: ribosomal RNA, 460 nt
Filed under: uncultured bacterium
Lineage: Bacteria
Description: partial 16S ribosomal RNA
Rfam family: Bacterial small subunit ribosomal RNA
Source: RNAcentral